CAGCCGCGGUAAGACGUAGGAUGCAAACGUUGUCCGGAUUUAUUGGGCGUAAAGAGUUCGUAGGCGGUGACUUAAGUCUGAUGUUAAAGACCAGAGCUCAACUCUGGCACGGCAUUAGAUACUGGGCCACUAGAGUUCGGUAGGGGUAACGGGAAUUCCUGGUGUAGCGGUGAAAUGCGUAGAUAUCAGGAGGAACACCUGUGGCGAAAGCGCGUUACUGGACCGAUACUGACGCUGAGGAACGAAAGCCUGGGUAGCGAAAGGGAUUAGAUACCCCUGUAGUCCAGGCCGUAAACGAUGGAUACUAGGUGUUGGAGGAAUCGACCCCCCCAGUGCCGUAGCUAACGCGAUAAGUAUCCCGCCUGGGGAGUACGACCGCAAGGUUGAAACUCAAAGGAAUUGACGGGGGCCCGCACAAGCGGUGGAACAUGUGGUUUAAUUCGAUGCAACGCGAAGAACCUUACCUGGGCUUGACAUCUGGCGAAUCUCUAGGAAACUAGGGAGUGCCUUCGGGAACGCCAAGACAGGUGGUGCACGGUUGUCGUCAGCUCGUGUCGUGAGAUGUUGGGUUAAGUCCCGCAACGAGCGCAACCCUCGUGGUCUGUUGCUACAGGUAGAAAUACGCUGAGCACUCAGGCCAGACUGCCGGUGACAAACCGGAGGAAGGUGGGGAUGACGUCAAAUCAUCACGCCCCUUAUGUCCAGGGCUACACACGUGUUACAAUGGGUAAUGGACAACGGGUUGCUUGUCAGCAAUGGGCCGGCUAAUCCCUCAAACCAUCCCUCAGUUCGGAUCGGAGUCUGCAACUCGGCUCCGUGAAGUUGGAAUCGCUAGUAACCGUAGAUCAGCACGCUGCGGUGAAUACGUUCCCGGGUCCUUGU
Molecule: ribosomal RNA, 882 nt
Filed under: uncultured bacterium
Lineage: Bacteria
Description: bacterial SSU rRNA
Rfam family: Bacterial small subunit ribosomal RNA
Source: RNAcentral